UGCGUAGGCGGAUGUUUAAGUCUGUUGUGAAAUCCCCGGGCUCAACCUGGGAAUGGCAUUGGAUACUGGGCAUCUAGAGUGUGGUAGAGGGUAGUGGAAUUUCUGGUGUAGCGGUGAAAUGCGUAGAUAUCAGAAAGAACACCAAUGGCGAAGGCAACUACCUGGGCCAACACUGACGCUGAGGUACGAAAGCGUGGGGAGCAAACA
This 207-nucleotide ribosomal RNA is filed under the name uncultured bacterium. RNAcentral's name for it is "partial 16S ribosomal RNA". It matches the Rfam family "Bacterial small subunit ribosomal RNA", at positions 568 to 774 of the family's 1533-position model. The record is from RNAcentral.